This 188-nucleotide non-coding RNA is filed under the name Anditalea andensis. Lineage: Bacteria; Pseudomonadati; Bacteroidota; Cytophagia; Cytophagales; Cytophagaceae. The record is from RNAcentral.
AUACUUUUGCCAUGUAAUGGUUUCCCGAGAGGGAAUUAAUAGGGAAUCCGGUGUGAGUCCGGAACAGUUCCCGCUGCUGUAAGCUCAUGAGCGCUUUGUCAAUCCUCUUGCCACUAUACGCCUGGUCGUAUGGGAAGGCCCGACAAAGCAGAGUAAGUCAGAAGACCUGCCAAUACAAGCAAUUCCAA